GGUCAAGUGAAGAAGCGCAUACGGUGGAUGCCUUGGCAGUCAGAGGCGAUGAAAGACGUGGUAGCCUGCGAUAAGCUUUGGGGAGUCGGCAAACAGACUGUGAUCCAGAGAUCUCUGAAUGGGGGAACCCACUCAGCAUAAGCUGAGUAUCUUGUACUGAAUACAUAGGUGCAAGAGGCGAACCAGGGGAACUGAAACAUCUAAGUACCCUGAGGAAAAGAAAUCAACCGAGAUUCCCUUAGUAGUGGCGAGCGAACGGGGACCAG
This 266-nucleotide ribosomal RNA is filed under the name Pseudomonas monteilii. Its description in RNAcentral is "partial 23S ribosomal RNA". It matches the Rfam family "Bacterial large subunit ribosomal RNA", at positions 1 to 267 of the family's 2925-position model. Lineage: Bacteria; Pseudomonadati; Pseudomonadota; Gammaproteobacteria; Pseudomonadales; Pseudomonadaceae. The record is from RNAcentral.